CGCACGUGCCCCCAGCCCGCGGCCGCCCUUUGGCCACGCCCCCUUCUCCAUGGCAACGGGACGCGCGGGCUCUGAUUGGCUGAGCCGCCGUAACCAAGAUGGCGCCGCCCACGAUACCGGGCAGCCCCUCAUUCAAUAUGGCGGCCCCCAUUGGAGGGAAACCGGAAGUUCCUUUGCUCCUCCCACUUCCGGUUCCGGCCUGUGGGGCCUGAGGCGCGCGCGCGUGAGGCCCGAGCCGCCCCACCAUGCUGCCCCCUCCCCUGCUGGCUGCUGCUGCCGCUGGCGCUGGCCGGACCCCCGGAGGUGACGGUGCCCAGACCCCGAGGGGUGGCCCUGAGCCAGCUGCCGUUUAUGACCCCUCGGGGCCGUUUCGCUGCCUGGACGGUUCCGGCUCCAUCGCCUUCGCCUGGGUCAACGACGACUACUGCGACUGUCGGGACGGCUCCGACGAGCCCGGUGCGAC
Long non-coding RNA from Poecile atricapillus (Black-capped chickadee), 463 nucleotides. RefSeq lists it as uncharacterized. The transcript has 3 exons. The record is from RefSeq and is a predicted model, not a curated record. NCBI's taxonomy places the organism in Eukaryota, Metazoa, Chordata, Aves, Passeriformes, Paridae.